RNAcentral lists this ribosomal RNA (240 nucleotides) under uncultured bacterium. RNAcentral's name for it is "partial 16S ribosomal RNA". It matches the Rfam family "Bacterial small subunit ribosomal RNA", at positions 99 to 339 of the family's 1533-position model. The record is from RNAcentral.
CGAACGGGUGAGGAACACGUGAAGAAUCUGCCCUCCACUUUGGGAUAACACCGGGAAACCGGUGCUAAUACCGAAUAUUGAAACAUAAGUGGCAUCACUGAGUUUUGAAAGAAUUUCGGUGGAGGAUGACUUCGCGGCCUAUCAGCUUGUUGGUGAGGUAAUGGCUCACCAAGGCAACGACGGGUAGCCGGCCUGAGAGGGUGACCCCCCACACUGGUACUGAGACACGGACCAGACUCC